GACGAACCGUACGAACGUUAUUCGGAAUUACUGGGCUUAAAGGGUGCGUAGGCUGUGCAGCAAGUCGGGUGUGAAAUACCUCAGCUCAACUGAGGAAUUGCGCCCGAAACUGCUGUGCUAGAGGAAGAUAGAGGUGAGCGGAACUUAGGGUGGAGCGGUGAAAUGCGUUGAUAUCCUAAGGAACACCGGUGGCGAAAGCGGCUCACUGGAUCUUUUCUGACGCUGAGGCACGAAAGCUAGGGUAGCGAACGGG
This 253-nucleotide ribosomal RNA is filed under the name uncultured bacterium. Its description in RNAcentral is "partial 16S ribosomal RNA". It matches the Rfam family "Bacterial small subunit ribosomal RNA", at positions 524 to 776 of the family's 1533-position model. The record is from RNAcentral.